GAAAGCGUAACAGCUCACUGAUCUAGCGAUUCUGCGCUGAAAAUAUAACGGGGCUAAGAUACGCACCGAAGCUUUAGAUUUGGUAUUUAUACCAAGUGGUAGGAGAGCGUUCCAAACAGCGUUGAAGCCAUACCGGUGAGGAGUGGUGGAGCGUUUGGAAGUGAGCAUGCAGGCACGAGUAGCGAUAAAAGCAGUGAGAAUCUGCUUCGCCGUAAACCCAAGGAUUCCUACGCUAUGCUCGUCAUCGUAGGGUUAGUCGGGACCUAAGUCGAGUCCGAAAGGGGUAGACGAUGGCAAAUUGGUUAAUAUUCCAAUACCGACAGUUGUUCGUUUGAGUGAUGGGGGGACGCAUAGGGCUAAUCGAGCUCGCUGAUGGAAUAGCGGGUCGAAGGACGUAGGAAGUAACAUAGGCAAAUCCGUGUUGCAAUAUUCCGAGAUCUUACAGGCCGAGCAAUACUUUCGAGUAGCGCUUAGAAUCGAUGAUGCCGUCG
RNAcentral lists this ribosomal RNA (491 nucleotides) under uncultured Campylobacterota bacterium. Its description in RNAcentral is "bacterial LSU rRNA". It matches the Rfam family "Bacterial large subunit ribosomal RNA", at positions 1128 to 1607 of the family's 2925-position model. Lineage: Bacteria; Pseudomonadati; Campylobacterota. The record is from RNAcentral.